GACGAACGCUGGCGGCGUGCUUAACACAUGCAAGUCGAACGGAAAGGCCCUGCUUUUGUGGGGUGCUCGAGUGGCGAACGGGUGAGUAACACGUGAGUAACCUGCCCUUGACUUUGGGAUAACUUCAGGAAACUGGGGCUAAUACCGGAUAGGAGCUCCUGCUGCAUGGUGGGGGUUGGAAAGUUUCGGCGGUUGGGGAUGGACUCGCGGCUUAUCAGCUUGUUGGUGGGGUAGUGGCUUACCAAGGCUUUGACGGGUAGCCGGCAUGAGAGGGUGAACGGCCACAUUGGGACUGAGAUACGGACCAGACUCCUACGGGAGGCAGCAGUGGGGAAUCUUGCACAAUGGGCGGAAGCCUGAUGCAGCAACGCCGCGUGCGGGAUGACGGCCUUCGGGUUGUAAACCGCUUUCGCCUGUGACGAAGCGUGAGUGACGGUAAUGGGUAAAGAAGCACCGGCUAACUACGUG
Molecule: ribosomal RNA, 468 nt
Filed under: uncultured bacterium
Lineage: Bacteria
Description: partial 16S ribosomal RNA
Rfam family: Bacterial small subunit ribosomal RNA
Source: RNAcentral